This 215-nucleotide unclassified non-coding RNA is filed under the name uncultured fungus. RNAcentral's name for it is "sequence contains ITS1". Lineage: Eukaryota; Fungi. The record is from RNAcentral.
AUGAACUCGAGGCGGCGUCGGACUGUGCUGGCCCCUUGGGGCAUGUGCACGCCCGACGUCGUCCAUCUCACACACACACACCCGUGCACGACAUGGAGGCGUUGCGCGCUCGUAGGGUUUGCCGGCGACACGUCGGCUCUCCCGGGGGCACGCGGCCCUUCUACUUUUCCACACACACCUUUGACCGGUCGCGCUUGUACUUGAUGUAACCAAUA